CGGCGCUAAAGACGUUCUUAGCGCGCGGGAGCUGAAUUUCGGCUUAAGUAGGCCUAGUGUUUUUUUGGGGUCUAGUUUUCCAAUCAAAGAUUACAGAAUGGAGAGAAAUAUAUUUAUAGAAAUCAAAUCAAGAAAUUAGUUCGAGUCCUAUAGGCUGCCUCCUGCGAAAAGCAAACUACGUGGGGAAUAUGAGUACCAUCCAUAAUGCAGCAUUAUGCAAAAUCCAAUUUCCUUGCAUUGGCCUACUUAUUUGCAUAUUGAAAGGAGGAUGCCUUCGUUUGGCAGUCAGGAUUUGCGAUGUAGGCACACAACAUGUGUACAAGGGAUUGACAAUAGUUGCGGAAUGGUGUUCUAGACAACAGUAUUUGGAACUUUUUUUUAUUGAGGAUGCAGUUGACAAUGACUUGGCACAAUUUGAUUGGCUGAAUCUUUGACAGCCAUCUUGAAGUAUGGAUACACAACUCGCAUUUUUGGAACAUCAAAUUUAUGGGAGUUAAUGCUAUAGUGUAAGUUAAGAUAGGAUAAACUUUAUUGUCAUAAUCAUAAGGUGACAUGACAUUUGUUUUCUUGAUGUGUUCAAAUGGUGAACAUAUACAAUUCUAAUAAAUCAUUGGAAAGUUAAGAAUAAAAAGUCACUAGUACUUACAACAACUAUGAUAGAAUGCAACUGAGUAAUGAUUAGAAAUUAUGCUUUUUGAAAUACGAAUAAUUUAUAUUAGUAAAACCUCAACCUAAUUUCAAGUUUAUAGAUAUAUUUAUGUCAGCAAACUUCGAAAGGUCACUUAUAGUGUACUACUUUUUUUAUCAUUCUCUGCAUCAUGUGUCAAGAUCUCCUCAGACAUAUAUUUAAAUUGGAAGCGAAUAUAUUUGCCAAAUUUAAUGUUUUUAUGUUGCCUUGGGGUAUGCAUUAGUGGCAGUCCCUCUGGACCCAAAUCAUCUUUUCACUUAAGCCUCUAUGUACUCAUAUUGCUUUUCUUGGUAAACUUUCUCCCCAAAAAAGCCUGAGGUAAUUUUGGCACUAAAACCUGAAGGAGUGGGCACCUGUGUUGAAUGCUAAAUUGAAUUUAUCCAGAACAAUUUGAAAUCUAUCGAAGAUGAUUUAGCUUCAGCGUAAAUUGAAAACCGUAAGUUUGCAAAUUCUAUGUAUUUUAUCUGUCCAAUUGCAAACCAGGCGCAUGAAUUGAUUUUCUGUAAAUGUCAUUAUUAUAUUUCACCUUGUGUGUGUAGACAUUUAAGAUGUUUGUUCAAUUUUCAGAAUGAUAUUUGACCCUUUGUAUAGCAGUAGUUAAUACUUUUAAAAUCAUGCAAGGUAUCAAUCCCCCCUUCAUCGGAUGGCUUGUGUUCAAUUCCAAAUCAAAUUAGAUAAAAGCUUGUCAUUCAUCACUAUCAAUAAUAUUUUUAUUAGACCCAACAGAAUAUGUUUAAUCAGAUUUUAUAUCUGGUAGUGUAUGCUCCUUUCAGAGAUAACAAAUGUCUUUUUAUAUCUGUUGGAGAAGUUGGACAAUGCUCUUACUUGAUAAGCUAUGUCCAGAUUAUCAAAUUUUCUUUGACAAAAAAAUUUUGUAUGCCCAUAUAUAGCCAUUAGGUGCCUAUAUUUGCAUCAUUUUAGGCAUGUCACAUGUUUUGUCAAAUAAAAUUGAUAGUCUGGGCAGGACUUUUAAAUGUAUGUACUUUGUUUGACUGACAUAUAAAUCUGAAAAGAUAUCUCGAUUGGUUUGGUAGGUGGAAUUGUUGCUACAAUUGAAUUAAUCUAUUGCUGUGGAGAUCUGGAAUGGAAUUGCUAAUGCAUGGGAUAUUCACUUGAAAAUACUGUGGUGAAUGAAUUUUAUUGUAAAUUGAUUUAUUGUGGUUUAGUUUUAAGAUCGUCACCUUUCAAUAGAGAUUCCUGGGUUCCAAUCCUCCCAGUUCCAGAAUAUUUUUACUUACAACAAAAACUCUGUCUGAGCUCCAUAAAGUUUUGUUUUAGAAAUGUCAUAGAUUUGAUUUUUUGUGUUAUUUUUUUCUGGUGUGAAUCAUUGUUCUAUGACGAUGAGAAUGACAUGAAAUGUAAUUAUUUUUAAUGAACUUUGUGGUGUAAAGAAUGAUGUUGAUAGUGUUACUGUAUGACAUAUUCUCAAAUAUGUAUAUCUACUUAUUAUUUCUGUCAUAAUAGUUUUUUAUUAUUAUGAUGAUAAUUUUAAAAUAUUAUGUCAUCCAUGUUGUGGAAUUUUUCCGACAAGAGGCAUUCCCUGCUUAUCAUAUCAUAUAUCAUUUAUUUCACCAGUCAAAACAAUAAAAAUUGUAUGGCAGACUGGCCGGAUGGCCCAAAAACAACGCAAAUUUACUGUCACAAGGGCUGUCCUGGCAGCAAAUGCAGUACAAUAAUACAUAAAACAUACAAGUAUAAAAAUAUGUAACUAUAUAUAAACCAUCUCUGUUAAACAUUUCAUUUAAAAUGUAAAAGUUACAAAAGCUAAGAACGAUUUACAGCGCAUAAAUACAUUAAAAUACUUUAUAAAAUUAAUUAGCAAUAAAAUUGCAAAAAGGGAAAUACAAGCAAAAGGAUCAUUACAAAAGGAUAAAAUUAAGUUUUAAAAUGAAAUUUAAGGUUAUUUAAAUUCAUAGAGCGUAACACUCUUAAUAACCUCCUUCAUAGAGACUGCGUGUCACUAUAACCUGUAUUUCAUAGGUAGAAUAAUUUGAUGAAAUAUGUACAUGGACACAAAUAUCUGCAUGGUUCACCACAGUAGUUACCACCAAUUUAAUGAACUGUACUAUAUAGUACCAUUAAGUACAGUGUAACUCUAACAGUGUUUUUUUACUAAGAAUAGUACAAUGUAACUGGGAUGAAACAUGUUACAGUAAUUUCUGCUAAGCUAUAUAAUGUCCAGGAUCAAUUUAAUUAUAAUUGACAAAUAAUAAAUGCAUUAUUACAAUCAUAAUAGGAUAGAAUGGUAGCAACUGUCAUAUAAUUUCUAAUAUACUUAUUAGUCAUUAGAAUCUACAUCUGAUUAUUCAGCCUCUGACCUGUA
Long non-coding RNA from Anneissia japonica, 3011 nucleotides. RefSeq lists it as uncharacterized. Lineage: Eukaryota; Metazoa; Echinodermata; Crinoidea; Comatulida; Comatulidae. The transcript is spliced from 6 exons. The record is from RefSeq and is a predicted model, not a curated record.